UCCUAGAUGGUCUAUGGUGUGAGGAUUCCUGGCUUUCACCCAGGCGGCCCGGGUUCGAUUCCCGGUGUAGGAA
Non-coding RNA from Ciona savignyi (Pacific transparent sea squirt), 73 nucleotides. The record is from Rfam. NCBI's taxonomy places the organism in Eukaryota, Metazoa, Chordata, Ascidiacea, Phlebobranchia, Cionidae.